This 72-nucleotide transfer RNA is filed under the name Camelus bactrianus (Bactrian camel). It matches the Rfam family "tRNA". Rfam says of the family: Transfer RNA (tRNA) molecules are approximately 80 nucleotides in length. Their secondary structure includes four short double-helical elements and three loops (D, anti-codon, and T loops). Further hydrogen bonds mediate the characteristic L-shaped molecular structure. tRNAs have two regions of fundamental functional importance: the anti-codon, which is responsible for specific mRNA codon recognition, and the 3' end, to which the tRNAs corresponding amino acid is attached (by aminoacyl-tRNA synthetases). tRNAs cope with the degeneracy of the genetic code in two manners: having more than one tRNA (with a specific anti-codon) for a particular amino acid; and 'wobble' base-pairing, i.e. permitting non-standard base-pairing at the 3rd anti-codon position. RNAcentral also lists the same sequence under 2 other names. The record is from Rfam by way of RNAcentral. Lineage: Eukaryota; Metazoa; Chordata; Mammalia; Artiodactyla; Camelidae.
GGAGGUAUAGCUCAGUGGUAGAGUGCCUGCUUAGCAAGCACAGGGUCCUAGGUUCAAUCCCCAACAUCUCCG